UCUGGUGGCAACAGCGAAGAGGUCACACCCGUUCCCAUACCGAACACGGAAGUUAAGCUCUUCAGCGCCGAUGGUAGUUGGGGUUCUUCCCCUGUGAGAGUAGGACGCCGCCAGGC
This 116-nucleotide ribosomal RNA is filed under the name Sutcliffiella tianshenii. Lineage: Bacteria; Bacillati; Bacillota; Bacilli; Caryophanales; Bacillaceae. The record is from RNAcentral.